CCGUGCUAGUCGGGGCGUUAGCGGUGUCUUGUAACCCACAAUCCGCUAUAGUGGGGACGAUGUCUAUAGGAGGUAUUUGUUUUGUAUGGUCUGCCCUUUUGCGUUAGUGAUGAAGAUUGAGUCUUGUGCAACAGGAACUUAUGAACCGUGUCAGGGUCGGAAGGCAGCAGCACUAAGUAAGCACUCUUGUGUGCCGCAGGGUAGCUUAGUCGGAGCUAAUAAUAAAGGUAACGCAUGGAAAGCAAUAUCGAAUAUAGAUGCACGG
Clostridium sp. is the source of this 265-nucleotide non-coding RNA. The record is from Rfam. NCBI's taxonomy places the organism in Bacteria, Bacillati, Bacillota, Clostridia, Eubacteriales, Clostridiaceae.